This 438-nucleotide ribosomal RNA is filed under the name uncultured bacterium. RNAcentral's name for it is "bacterial SSU rRNA". It matches the Rfam family "Bacterial small subunit ribosomal RNA", at positions 28 to 482 of the family's 1533-position model. The record is from RNAcentral.
GAUGAACGCUGGCGGCGUGCCUAAUACAUGCAAGUCGAGCGAGAACCUUUGGAUUCGUCUGAGGGUGACAGCGGCGAACGGGUGAGUAACACGUGGGUGACCUGCCCUGAAGACGGGGACAACCUUCGGAAACGGAGGCUAAUACCCGAUGUGCUCGGUAAUUCGAUUUAUCGAGUAAAGCUCCGGCGCUUCAGGAUGGGCCUGCGGCCUAUCAGCUAGUUGGUGAGGUAAUGGCUCACCAAGGCUAAGACGGGUAGGGGACGUGAGAGCGUGGACCCCCACAUUGGCACUGAGAUACGGGCCAGACUCCUACGGGAGGCAGCAGUCGGGAAUAUUGCACAAUGGGCGAAAGCCUGAUGCAGCGACGCCGCGUGGGCGAUGAAGGCCUUCGGGUUGUAAAGCCCUUUUAUGGGGGAAGAGAUCAAGGACGGUACCCCA